Molecule: RNA transcript, 1427 nt
Organism: Magnolia sinica
Lineage: Eukaryota; Viridiplantae; Streptophyta; Magnoliopsida; Magnoliales; Magnoliaceae
Gene name: vacuolar-sorting receptor 1-like
Exons: 7
Source: RefSeq, a predicted model, not a curated record
UCGCCUUCACCCUCCCUCUCGCUCUCCCUCUCUCGCACUCCCUUGCUUUCGCUCACGCUUGCCCUUCUCUCUCUCUCUCUCUCUCUCUCUCUCAGCGCAUCGUCUCCAGCAUCAUCUCCAGAUCUGGUGCGCCCAGCAACCCCUGCCCUUCACCUCUUCCCUGGUCACCUUUGCUAUUUGUAUCUGGUGUAAAUACACUUCUAUAAGUAUUCUUUGGAGCAUGAUUGCCAACAGUAGUGGGUGGUUCUUUUGAUUAUGUUAUACCAAUCAUUUACAUUAUAAAUGACUCGUCAUUGCAGCAGAUUCCUGAACCUCAUAAAAUAUUUAUAAAAACCAUGAGAGCAAUUCAAGGAGCAUUGAUUGUAGCAUCAAGCUUGCAAAUCAUCCUGGGUUACAACCAGCUUUGGGAAAAAUUUUCACAGAACUCCAUAGCGACACCUUAUUCACCUAGCAGCUAAAUUUACAAAUGAAUGGUGUCAGUUCAUGAAAGUCAGACAAACGGGUGUUUGAACUAUAAUGGUGGUUGCUGGGAAGACAAGGCUGCCAACAUUAUUGGUUGUAAGGAUACAUUCUGUGGAAGGGUGUGUGAGUGUCCGUUGGUUCAGGAAGUGGAGUUUAAGGGAGAUGUUUAUAGCAGUUGUCAAGUGUGUUGGUGGGCACGGGAAGGGUAUGUGUGAAAUCGAGGAGUGUAUUUGAGCGUUCUGUGUGUAAAUGUAAAUCAAUGUAGCUGCUCCAUGUGGGUUGUUGUUGCUAGUUGGUUCAGGUAGUGGUUGCAGACGCCUCUGUUUGGAUGAGUUUUAGCUGAUGUUGGUUGGAAUGGGAAAGCUGUUCCUGCUAAAGUUUGGAGUGUGAUCAGCAACUUAUGGUUACAACUGCUUCGGUUGGAUUUGGAUGAAUCUAGAUUCCUGGUUUUAGCUGCAGCUACUCCUCGUUUCGCAAGACAUAUCUUCAUCCUUUAACCUCCUUGUCGUUGUCUUGAAGACUAUAAUUUUGUUUGUGCCUUCACCUGCGAUUUUUACCAGGCCAUUAUGUUGAUUGGGAGGGAGGGCAGUAAGGGCUAUUGGAAAGGCAAUCUAGCACAGACACUCUUAGCUUGGAAAGUAAGGUUGUGUGCUUGGGGCUAUCGAACAAUCCCCACUUCAAUUGAUGAGCUUUUCCGUGUUGAAUAUGGACCAUUGGACGGUGAUAUUUGGAUGGACACAUUAUUUUUAUUUUAACAGUUUUACAAGGUGAAGUGAUGUGGAAGAUGGGUGUGAAUCACUCCAUAUGUUCUUCUUCUCGUGCUUUAGAUUCUUCUUUCUUUACAUGUAUUACUUUAGAUGGGUAUAUGGGUUUGUAAGCCAUGAAAUGAAGUAUUUAUCUGUAUUAGCUUAGAUGAGUAGAUCUAUCUAGGCAUGUACUAGCAAUGGCAAUAGACACCAUUAUUA